This 497-nucleotide ribosomal RNA is filed under the name uncultured bacterium. RNAcentral describes it as "partial 16S ribosomal RNA". It matches the Rfam family "Bacterial small subunit ribosomal RNA", at positions 28 to 507 of the family's 1533-position model. The record is from RNAcentral.
GAUGAACGCUGGCGGCGUGCCUAAUACAUGCAAGUCGAGCGAACAGACGAGGAGCUUGCUCCUCUGACGUUAUCGGCGGACGGGUGAGUAACACGUGGAUAACCUACCUAUAAGACUGGGAUAACUUCGGGAAACCGGAGCUAAUACCGGAUAAUAUAUUGAACCGCAUGGUUCAAUAGUGAAAGACGGUUUUGCUGUCACUUAUAGAUGGAUCCGCGCCGCAUUAGCUAGUUGGUAAGGUAACGGCUUACCAAGGCAACGAUGCGUAGCCGACCUGAAAGGGUGAUCGGCCACACUGGAACUGAGACACGGUCCAGACUCCGACGGGAGGCAGCAGUAGGGAAUCUUCCGCAAUGGGCGAAAGCCUGACGGAGCAACGCCGCGUGAGUAAUGAAGGUCUUCGGAUCGUAAAACUCUGUUAUUAGGGAAGAACAAAUGUGUAAGUAACUAUGCACGUCUUGACGGUACCUAAUCAGAAAGCCACGGCUAACUACGUG